This 2929-nucleotide ribosomal RNA is filed under the name Candidatus Mycoplasma haematolamae. RNAcentral's name for it is "23S ribosomal RNA". It matches the Rfam family "Bacterial large subunit ribosomal RNA". The record is from RNAcentral. Lineage: Bacteria; Bacillati; Mycoplasmatota; Mollicutes; Mycoplasmatales; Mycoplasmataceae. RNAcentral also lists the same sequence under 1 other name.
AAUUUAAAUUACUAAGGGCUAGUAAAGGAUUUCUUGGAAAUGAUAGGCGAUGAAGGACGUGCCAAUCUGCGAAAAGUGUCGGGUAGCUGAUAAGAAGCCUUAAUCCGGCAAUCUCCGAAUGUAGAAAUACAGUAGAAACUAAUCUUUCUACUAUCGUCACAUGAAUUAAAUAGUGUGAUGAGGCGAACUUGGCGAAGUGAAACAUCUCAGUAGCCAAAGGAAAAGAAAACGAAGUGAUUCCCUAAGUAGUGGUGAGCGGAAGGGGAAGAGGCUAAACCAGGAGCUUGCUCCUGGGGUUGUAGGACCUUACAACGGUAUCUCCGAAUAUAGCAGAAAUCUAUUGGAAAGUAGUGCCAUAGAGGGUGAAAGCCCCGUAUGUGAAAUAGGAAGAGAGCCAAAGGUAUCCUGAGUAGGGCGGGACAUGUGAACCCUGUUUGAAUCCACCCGGACCAUCGGGUAAGCCUAAAUACUAAUCAUUUACCGAUAGUGAACAAGUACUGUGAAGGAAAGAUGAAAAGAACCCAGAUAUGGGAGUGAAAUAGAUCAUGAAAUUACUAGCCUACAAAGUGUCAGAGCACAUUCAAGUGUAAUGGCGUGCGUUUUGAAGUAUGAGCCGGAGAGUUAUUGCAAGUUGCAAAGUUAAAUCUGAACGAUGGAGCUGAAGCGAAAGCGAGUCUUAAUAGGGCGUUUUUAGUAAGUUGCAAUAGACCCGAAAGGGGACGAGCUUGUCAUGAGCAGGUUGAAAUUUGAAUAACAUCAGAUGAAGGACCGAACAGACUGUCGUUGAAAUGAUAGCUGAUGACUUGUGAUAAGAGGUGAAAUUCCAAUCGAGUUCCCUGAUAGCUGGUUUUUGUCGAUAUAGUUUUAGGACUAGCGUCAAAUAAAUUUAUGAGUGGAGGUAAAGCACUGAAUCUAUGAGGGCGGUUCGCGCUGUACCAAAUAGAAUUAAACUCUGAAUUCCAUUCAUACUACUUUGGCAGUGAGACUACUUGGGAUAAGCUUUGUAGUCGUGAGGGAAAGAGCCCAGACCAAUAAAUAAGGUCCCUAAACUAAGCUAAGUGGAAAAGGAGGUCAAAAUUCAUAAACAACUAGGAUGUUGGCUUAGAAGCAGCCACCGUUUAAAGAGUGCGUAAUAGCUCACUAGUCUAGUUUUUUGGCGCCGCAAGUAUAACGGGGCUAAGCUUAGUACCGAAUUUUUGGAUUCCUGCCUCUAGGCAGGAGUGGUAGACAAAUGUUGUAUAAGGAUUGAAGCCUAAACGAGAGUAUGGGUGGACUUUAUACAAGUAAGAAUUCCGGCGUGAGUAACGAAUGAAAGUGAGAAUCUUUUUAGCCGAUUGAUUAAGGUUUCUGGGGCUAGGCUCGUCCUCCUCAGGUUAGUCGAUCCUAAGGUGAGGUCGAAAGACGUAAUUGAUGGACAACAGGUUAAUAUUCCUGUACUACCUUAGAUAUUUGAUGGGUUGACAAAAGAGGUUGAGGUAAGAGGAUUAUUGGAUUUCCUUUCAAGAAUUCGAGCAAGUUAGGGAUGAAAAUCACCCUAACACACAUUGUGAGGUUCGAGCACGAUCUUUAUUAGCAAUAGUAGAGAAAGUUACUGACAAUCUGAUUUUCGAGAAAAGACUCUAAAAAUACGUAUCUAAGGUAUUCGUACCGAGAACGAACACACGUGAUCAAGGAGAAUAUCCUAAGGCUAGCGAGUUAUCUACAGUUAAGGAACUCUGCAAAUUAACUCUGUAACUUCGGGAGAAAGGGUGCCUACAUUAGCUUGUAGGUCACAGUAAAGAAUGAGGGCGGACUGUUUAACAAAAACACAGCUAUAUGCGAAAUUCAAACAUGAAGUAUAUGUGGCGACACCUGCCCGGUGCCAGAAGGUCAAAGAAGGAGGUCAAGCCUGCUUGCAGGUGGCAGCUUUUAACUUAAGCCCUGGUGAACGGCGGCCGUAACUAUAACGGUCCUAAGGUAGCGAAAUUCCUUGUCAGGUAAAUUCUGUCCCGCUUGAAUGGUGUAACCAGCUCUUAACUGUCUCGACUGUAGGCUCGGUGAAAUCCUGGUGAGAGUGAAGACACUCUCUUGCCGCUAUGGGACGGAAAGACCCUAUGAAGCUUUACUGUAACUUGAUAUUGUGAAAGUUCAUUGAUAUUAGAGAAUAUGUGGGAGACUGGGAAGAUGGGGCGCUAGCUCUGUUGGAGUCGACAGUGGAAUACCGCAAUUUCAAUGAAUUUUUACUUACAUAUUGCCAUCUAUCUGGUAUAUGGACAGUGUUAGGUGGGCAGUUUGACUGGGGCGGUUGCCUCCUAAAAAGUAACGGAGGCGCGCAAAGGUACACUUAGCACGUAUGGAAACCGUGCAGUAAGGGUAAUACUAUAUGUGUGCUUGAUUGUGAGACAAACAAGUCGACCAAGUAAGAAAUUAGGCUAUAGUGAUCCGGUGGUUCUGAAUGGAAGGGCCAUCGCUCAACGGAUAAAAGCUACUCUAGGGAUAACAGGGUAAUAAUCACCAAGAGUUCAUAUCGACGUGAUUGUUUGCUACCUCGAUGUCGACUCAUCUUAUCCUGGGGGUGAAGCAGCUCCCAAGGGUUCGGCUGUUCGCCGAUUAAAAAGAUACGUGAGUUGGGUUCAAACCGUCGUGAGACAGGUUGGUCCCUAUCUGUAGUGGCUGAAGGAAAUUUGAGGGGAUUCAUUCCUAGUACGAGAGGACCGGAAUGAACACACCGCUGUUGUAUCAGUUGUCUUGCCAGAGGCAUUGCUGAAUAGAUAAGUGUGGAUUAGAUAAACGCUGAAAGCAUCUAAGUGUGAAACUAGCCUCAAAAAAAUUUCCCCUUCAAUUUAUUGAAGAUAAACAUGGUUGAAGACUACAACCUCGAUAGGCUACAAGUGUAAGUACAGUAAUGUAUUCAGCUAAGUAGUACUAAUUAUGUGAAAGAUUUAGACAG